Bactrocera neohumeralis is the source of this 2446-nucleotide long non-coding RNA. RefSeq lists it as uncharacterized. The transcript has 2 exons. The record is from RefSeq and is a predicted model, not a curated record. NCBI's taxonomy places the organism in Eukaryota, Metazoa, Arthropoda, Insecta, Diptera, Tephritidae.
UAACGGCACAUAAAUACACACUUUGUGCACCAGACUUAAGUAGGCCAAAUGUCAAAUAAACUGUAUGAAUGCAACACUGCUAAAAGCUUCCAAGGAAGUUGUACAUUAUUGAUGUUAAAAGGGGUUACUUUUCGUGGAAAAAUACGCACUGAACACUGCACUCCUUUUGCCAUUCUCCUGUCUCGCUGUUUUAACACUACUUUAUUCUCCUAAACCUUGCAGAAGAUGCGAUCCUGCAUUAUCUACAACGUCGUUCAACGCACUCAGUAAACGAGACGAUGAAUCGCCGGCAAAGGCGACAGAUUGGGUCAGGUGGUCGAGGUCUCGGAAUGGGUGGUGCACCCGGGAUGGGAGCUCAGGGGAACGGACCUAGACAACAAAACGGCAUGAACGGACCUGGACAAAUGGGUGGUCAAGGCGGAAUGGGGAUGGGUAUGGGUGUGGGAAUGAAUGGACGCGGACCGAUGGGCGGACAAGGAGGAAUGGGCAUGCCAAACGGACAAGGAAGAAUGGGAAUGCCGAAUGGACAAGGUGGGAUGGGCAUGCCGAAUGGUCCCGCGGUCCCAUGGGAGGACCGGGCGGUAUGGGGAUGAAUGGAGCACCUCGAGGUCCCGGUAUGAGUAUGCAAGGUGGGAAUGGAAAUUUCGGCAGGGGAAUGAACGGCACCAAUGGUUAUGCUCCCUGGUAUGGAUAUGGCGGCAGCAAUAACAACCCCAAUGGACCAAUGAACCAAUGGAACGGGGCUGGUGGUGGAAACGGUUUCGGCAGCGGUCCCAAUGGCAAUUUUCCCAAUAGGCAGCAGUUUGGUGGCCCCCCCUCAGUUUGGCAGAACUCUAAUGCGAUGGGUCAACAAAAUUUCGGCUUUUACAACGUCUCCACCACCACGCAAUCCAGUUGGUUCUAAAACUGAAUAGUUAGCUGAACAACAACUGCAUAUAGAUAUGUCUGAAUUUGCACGAACAUACUUGAAUAAAUAUUGAAAAUGUUGCACUGCUCUCAGCUCUUUUAUCUUUUGCUUGGAAAAUUAAUUUUGCGAGAAAUUCAAAUCUUUUGAUUUCGGAAUUCGGAAAUUUGUUGUAGCUCAUGCAUUUCUUCCACUGCUAAUUGAAUUUCUCAAAUGUAUUUGAUGGUACUGUUAUUCAGAUUUGCAACUUUCUACAUUUUGUUGUUGCUUGAACUCUCGUUUACUGUUGUGUGGGCGUGUGGUCUUAGAAGUAUUUGCAUUUCUCUAUUUGUUCAACUCACAAAGGAAACGCAAUUAAAUUGUGCACACAUUCGUAAUCGAUUUUCGAGAAUUUCUUCCACUUGCUUGGAGAGAUAUUUAAUUCUAGCGCAGCAGAUUCCUUUUGCAUACCGUUAGGAUUGCACUGCUUUGUUUUCACCUAGAAAAUGCAAAUUAGGGUAUAUUUGUAUGAAAUCAAAACUGCAGUUGCCGAAAAUAUGAAAUUCGUAAGCAUCGUAAUAUUUACAGUACUCAAAAUUCUGCAGAAAAUUGCUUUGGCGUCUGUGGGGUCUUUGAGUUGCCCUUAUUACGGAUUUGAGUCCAAAAAUUUUCCAUUACGUGCAGCUAUUUUUGUGAAUUUUGUAAGUAGUACUGGUUUGACUCCUCCACCUCUUGCCUACAACAAAAAACUCCUUCGUGUUAGGAAGUGUUUACUAUCAUAAUUUCUCAAAAUUAGUCAGAACAGCCUCUAACAUAGUCUUCUUCAUCUUUAGUGGUGUAGACAACGCUUACGCGCUUAUAGUCCUUAACAUCACAGUCGCAAAAUGACUGCGAACGAGUGUUAUUUUUGAAAAAUUUCAGGGGGCUCCUAGAGGUAUACUUACUAUAGGAAACGUGCUUUAUGAAACGUAUGAUCUUAUAAGCAUUUCAAGGUAUUAGGUAAGCGUUUUGGUUGCGCUAGUCUGAAACUCUCAAUAUGGUUUCACUCUUGUAAAUCAACUGCAAAUUUUGGACUAUUCUUUUGGUGAAAUAUUAAACUGCUAGCAUACCUUUGUGCGCUGCUCUUUUUCGCAGAUUUUCAAAGUAUUUCAAAAAUGUUUUCAACAGCUGAAUAAAUAAGCGUACAUACUGGAAAUACGGUAACCGUGUUUAAAUUAUUACCAAUUUUUUUACUGAAAAAAGCUUUCACAACGGAAGUUUUUGCACGCGAUUUCCAGAAAAUUUUCGAAUAUAUUUUGAACACAACGAAUUUUUCAGCGAAAAUCAAAAGCAAAAAAGUCUUAUUUUAAGUGAAAAAGAAAAAUUUUCAAAUAAAAAGCAAAAAGGUAGUUGAAUAAAUAAGUAAUAAUAAUAGAAUUCAACUUUGUAUAGUUAAUUUAGGCAAAUAAUAAUAAUUAUAUACAAGAAUUUGUAUUUAGAAAAGUAAUGCCAAAUGUCUUAAACGAAAAACUCUUUUAUUUUUCAGCAAGAAAUACAAAAUCUCCAUACAAAAAAUAUUAUUUU